GUAGGUGGCAAGCGUUGUCCGGAAUUAUUGGGCGUAAAGCGCGCGCAGGCGGGGUCCUUUAAGUCUGAUGUGAAAGCCCACGGGCUCAACCGUGGAGGGUCACUGGAAACUGGGGGACUUGAGUACAGAAGAGGAAAGCGGAAUUCCAAGUGUAGCGGUGAAAUGCGUAGAGAUUUGGAGGAACACCAGUGGCGAAGGCGGCUUUCUGGUCUGUAACUGACGCUGAGGCGCGAAAGCGUGGGGAGCAAACAGGAUUAGAUACCCUGGUAGUCCACGCCGUAAACGAUGAGUGCUAAGUGUUAGGGGGUUUCCGCCCCUUAGUGCUGCAGCUAACGCAUUAAGCACUCCGCCUGGGGAGUACGGCCGCAAAGGCUG
This 375-nucleotide ribosomal RNA is filed under the name uncultured organism. RNAcentral's name for it is "partial 16S ribosomal RNA". It matches the Rfam family "Bacterial small subunit ribosomal RNA", at positions 527 to 896 of the family's 1533-position model. The record is from RNAcentral.